Molecule: ribosomal RNA, 436 nt
Filed under: uncultured bacterium
Lineage: Bacteria
Description: bacterial SSU rRNA
Rfam family: Bacterial small subunit ribosomal RNA
Source: RNAcentral
GUGAACGCUGGCGGCAUGCUUAAGACAUGCAAGUCGAACGAAGGUAGCAAUACCUUAGUGGCAAACGGGUGAGUAAUGAAUGGGAAUCUACCUUACAGUGGGGGACAACAGUUGGAAACGACUGCUAAUACCGCAUAUUACCAUUUAUGGGAAAGGCUUCGGCCGCUGUUAGAUGAGCCCAUUUCUGAUUAGCUAGUUGGUGGGGUAAUGGCCUACCAAGGCGAUGAUCAGUAGCUGGUCUGAGAGGAUGAUCAGCCACACCGGAACUGAGACACGGUCCGGACUCCUACGGGAGGCAGCAGUCGGGAAUAUUGGACAAUGGACGAAAGUCUGAUCCAGCAAUGCCGCGUGAGUGAUGAAGGUCUUAGGAUUGUAAAGCUCUUUUGACAGGGAAGAUAAUGACGGUACCUGUAGAAUAAGCACCGGCCAAUUUCGU